Gasterosteus aculeatus aculeatus (three-spined stickleback) is the source of this 1082-nucleotide long non-coding RNA. The record is from Ensembl. Lineage: Eukaryota; Metazoa; Chordata; Actinopteri; Perciformes; Gasterosteidae.
CUUGUCUCCGAACGUAUACCACAGGGCUGACGGACAGCACUGUGGCCGAAUCGCUUCCUCAGCUGUGGAGGUCUGCUCUAAUCCAGGAUGAGUUUCCCUGAAGCACAACGUGCAGCUUGUAUCAAAGUUCCUGACCGAGCAGGAGAACCCACUCUCAAUCUCCCCAACCUCUUACUCAAAGUGCAGCCAUGGAGCCAAGGAUGAAAGCAUCCCACUCAAGGUACAUCAUUAUUCAAAGGAAGCUGCCUCCACAGCAGGGGUCGCCACACCCUUCCCCUUAAGACGGAGUCCCCACAGGGAUCACCGCAAACUCCACAAAAAAAAACAUAACUACUACCUCACCACCCUCUACAUUAAAACUACGCCCCACCUCUGCAACCAGAAACAAAGUCCAUCGCAUCAGACGCUGGUUUGGUCAGGAUUCUGUGGAUGGUGGUUCUAUCUGAUGGUGGUUGCCUCUGCAGUGGUCCUGCUGUGCGCCUGGCUUACUACUCACAAUUACUUGAAUCAUUUCUGUCAUAGGAAUUGCAUGUAUUAUACAUUGUUCAUUCUGUACACAUGGCAUCCAUUGUAGUCUGUCCAUCCCGGGAGUGGGAUCCCUCCUCUGACGUUCUCCCUAAGGUUUCUUCCCUUUUUUCCCUGUUGGAGGGUUUUUUCAUUUUUUGGGGAGUUUUUCCUGUGCCGAUGGUGGGUUUCGGGGCAGAGGAUGUUGUAUGUGUACAGACUGUAAAGCCCUCUGAGGCAAAUUUGUAAUUUGCGAUUCUGGGCUAUACAAAAUAAAAUGAAUUGACUUGACUUGACUUGGUUUGGGGAGUGCAGCGAACUGAAAAAUGUCAAUGGGUUUUGAUCGGUAUACACAACUACUGGUUUUCCCCCAGUGCCGACAUAAACUUCAUUAAGCGCCAGUGUUUCCUUCUCUAUUGUUGAAUAGUUGCUCUGACAUGAAUUGAACUUCUUUGAGAAGUGGCUGAGGAACUUCAAGGGACCUGAAGGGGAACGGGAUCCAAGGAAGGCUCGCCGCCUAGCUUUGUGCUCCGGAGGAACUGAGGCUAAUUGCCUUCGUGAACACGACUACAUCUGAG